Molecule: ribosomal RNA, 514 nt
Filed under: uncultured Oscillospiraceae bacterium
Lineage: Bacteria; Bacillati; Bacillota; Clostridia; Eubacteriales; Oscillospiraceae
Description: bacterial SSU rRNA
Rfam family: Bacterial small subunit ribosomal RNA
Source: RNAcentral
CGACGUAGAGUUUGGUAUCCUCGGCUACGAGAGAACGCUGGCGGCGUGCCUAACACAUGCAAGUCGAACGGAACUUAGUUGAAGGAAUUCUUCGGAAGGACGAUUGGUUAAGUUUAGUGGCGGACGGGUGAGUAACGCGUGAGUAACCUGCCUCCGAGAGGGGAAUAACAAAUCUGAAAAGAUUGCUAAUACCGCAUAACAUAGCGAAGUCGCAUGGCAGCGCUAUCAAAGAUUUAUCGCUCGGAGAUGGACUCGCGUCCGAUUAGUUAGUUGGUGAGGUAACGGCUCACCAAGACCGCGAUCGGUAGCCGGACUGAGAGGUUGAACGGCCACAUUGGGACUGAGACACGGCCCAGACUCCUACGGGAGGCGGCAGUGGGGGAUAUUGCGCAAUGGGGGAAACCCUGACGCAGCAACGCCGCGUGAAGGAUGAAGGUUUUCGGAUUGUAAACUUCUUUUAUUAAGGACGAAAAAAUAGACGGUACUUAAUGAAUAAGCUCCGGCUAACUACGUG